CCUACGGGAGGCAGCAGUGAGGAAUAUUGGUCAAUGGACGAGAGUCUGAACCAGCCAAGUAGCGUGAAGGAUGACUGCCCUAUGGGUUGUAAACUUCUUUUGUCGGGGAGCAAAGAGAGUCACGUGUGACUCAUUGAGAGUACCCGAAGAAAAAGCAUCGGCUAACUCCGUGCCAGCAGCCGCGGUAAUACGGAGGAUGCGAGCGUUAUCCGGAUUUAUUGGGUUUAAAGGGUGCGCAGGCGGAGGUGCAAGUCAGCGGUCAAAUUGCGGGGCUCAACCCCGUACUGCCGUUGAAACUGCAGCCCUUGAAUGCGCGAGAAGGAUGGGGAAUGCGUGGUGUAGCGGUGAAAGGCAUAGAUAUCACGCAGAACUCCGAUUGCGAAGGCAGCAUACCGGGGCGCAACUGACGCUGAUGAACGAAAGCGUGGGUAUCGAACAGGAUUAGAUACCCUUGUAGUC
RNAcentral lists this ribosomal RNA (459 nucleotides) under uncultured bacterium. Its description in RNAcentral is "partial 16S ribosomal RNA". It matches the Rfam family "Bacterial small subunit ribosomal RNA", at positions 338 to 795 of the family's 1533-position model. The record is from RNAcentral.